RNAcentral lists this ribosomal RNA (448 nucleotides) under uncultured bacterium. Its description in RNAcentral is "bacterial SSU rRNA". It matches the Rfam family "Bacterial small subunit ribosomal RNA", at positions 329 to 794 of the family's 1533-position model. The record is from RNAcentral.
UGCCAGACUCCUACGGGAGGCAGCAGUGGGGAAUAUUGCACAAUGGGGGAAACCCUGAUGCAGCGACGCCGCGUGAGCGAUGAAGUAUUUCGGUAUGUAAAGCUCUAUCAGCAGGGAAGAAGAUGACGGUACCUGACUAAGAAGCCCCGGCUAACUACGUGCCAGCAGCCGCGGUAAUACGUAGGGGGCAAGCGUUAUCCGGAUUUACUGGGUGUAAAGGGAGCGUAGACGGCGAUGCAAGCCAGAUGUGAAAGCCCGGGGCUCAACCCCGGGACUGCAUUUGGAACUGUGUGGCUGGAGUGUCGGAGAGGCAGGCGGAAUUCCUAGUGUAGCGGUGAAAUGCGUAGAUAUUAGGAGGAACACCAGUGGCGAAGGCGGCCUGCUGGACGAUGACUGACGUUGAGGCUCGAAAGCGUGGGGAGCAAACAGGAUUAGAUACCCGGGUAAC